CGGUUGAUCCUGCCGGACCCUACUGCUAUCGGGGUGGGACUAAGACAUGCGAGUUGAGCGUCUCUAAGCUAUGGUAGAGACGCAGCGUACGGCUCAGUAACACGUGGCUAACCUACCCUUAGGACGGGGACAACCCCGGGAAACUGGGGCUAAUACCCGAUAGGCGAGGAGGCCUGGAAUGGUUCCUAGUCGAAAAGGCGUUGAAACCAUGCUUUUCGACGUCGCCUAAGGAUGGGGCCGCGCCCGAUCAGGUUGUUGGUGGGGUAACGGCUCACCAAGCCUAUAACCGGUACGGGCCGUGAGAGCGGGAGCCCGGAGAUGGGCACUGAGACAAGGGCCCAGGCCCUACGGGGCGCAGCAGUCGCGAAAACUCCGCAAUGCGCGAAAGCGUGACGGGGCUACCCCGAGUGCCGUCCGCUGAGGAUGGCUUUUCCCCGGUGUAAUGAGCCGGGGGAAUAAGGAGAGGGCAAGUCUGGUGUCAGCCGCCGCGGUAAUACCAGCUCUCCGAGUGGUAGGGAUGAUUAUUGGGCUUAAAGCGUCCGUAGCCGGCUUAGCAAGUCUCCUGUUAAAUUCAGCGACCUAAUCGUUGAGCCGCGGGAGAUACUACUAGGCUAGGAGGCGGGAGAGGCCGACGGUAUUCUCGGGGUAGGGGUGAAAUCCUAUAAUCCCGGGAGGACCACCAGUGGCGAAGGCUGUCGGCUAGAACGCGCUCGACGGUGAGGGACGAAAGCUGGGGGAGCGAACCGGAUUAGAUACCCGGGUAGUCCCAGCUGUAAACGAUGCGGGCUAGGUGUUGGGGUGGCUACGAGCCACUUCAGUGCCGCAGGGAAGCCAUUAAGCCCGCCGCCUGGGGAGUACGGCCGCAAGGCUGAAACUUAAAGGAAUUGGCGGGGGAGCAC
RNAcentral lists this ribosomal RNA (899 nucleotides) under uncultured archaeon. RNAcentral's name for it is "bacterial SSU rRNA". It matches the Rfam family "Archaeal small subunit ribosomal RNA", at positions 5 to 879 of the family's 1478-position model. The record is from RNAcentral.